CUGUCACUCCUACGGGGAGGCAGCAGUGGGGGAAUAUUGCACAAUGGGCGCAAGCCUGAUGCAGCCAUGCCGCGUGUAUGAAGAAGGCCUUCGGGUUGUAAAGUACUUUCAGCAGUGAGGAAGGUGGAUAUGUUAAUAGCAUAUUCAUUUGACGUUAGCUGCAGAAGAAGCACCGGCUAACUCCGUGCCAGCAGCCGCGGUAAUACGGAGGGUGCGAGCGUUAAUCGGAAUUACUGGGCGUAAAGCGCAUGCAGGUGGUUUGUUAAGUCAGAUGUGAAAGCCCCGGGCUCAACCUGGGAAUUGCAUUUGAAACUGGCAAACUAGAGUACUGUAGAGGGGGGUAGGAAUUUCAGGUGUAGCGGUGAAAUGCGUAGAGAUCUGAAGGAAUACCGGUGGCGAAGGCGGCCCCCUCGGACAGAUACUGACACUCAGAUGCGAAAGCGUGGGGAGCAAACAGGAUUAGAUACCCUGGUAG
Molecule: ribosomal RNA, 475 nt
Filed under: uncultured bacterium
Lineage: Bacteria
Description: bacterial SSU rRNA
Rfam family: Bacterial small subunit ribosomal RNA
Source: RNAcentral